UUCUGAUUUAAAUUGAAGAUAAAUCACGGACUCACAGGCUUGAAAAGCAAAGUUUCUUUAAUUCACCCCUGCUCCUUCAGUGUCCAGACGUACACACAAUUUCUGGAGGCCAUUGAGCAUGAUGAACAACAAAGGAUGAUGCAGCAUACUCAGACUCUUCCUCCACACACAGAGACUAUUAUCAUCAAGACUUUGACUUUGGCGGCCUUUGUGUAUACAGGUGCCUCAGUGAUAGAGAAUCUGCCUGCAAUGCAGGAGACACAGGAGAUGUAGGUUCAAUCCUUGGAUUCGGAAGAUCCUAUGUAGGAGGAAGCGGCAACACACUCCAGUAUUAUCACCUGG
Bubalus bubalis (water buffalo) is the source of this 342-nucleotide long non-coding RNA. RefSeq lists it as uncharacterized. The record is from RefSeq and is a predicted model, not a curated record. The transcript is spliced from 3 exons. NCBI's taxonomy places the organism in Eukaryota, Metazoa, Chordata, Mammalia, Artiodactyla, Bovidae.